RNAcentral lists this long non-coding RNA (372 nucleotides) under Lotus japonicus. Its description in RNAcentral is "long non-coding RNA (LJAP_LNC000311)". Lineage: Eukaryota; Viridiplantae; Streptophyta; Magnoliopsida; Fabales; Fabaceae. The record is from RNAcentral.
CCUAAAUCAAAGAGCAACUCUGAUUUAGAAGACGAAAUAGAGGGUGUAAUGAAGGAUUAAUUAAAAGCAAAAUGAAGAAGCACAAUCUAACGAAUGCAAAAAUUAUUUUAUGAUUUCAAGCAAGGUUAAGAGUGUACUCAAUUUUUUCUUGAGAGGUGCGAUUGAGAUAUGCGAUUGAAGUUCGAGAGAAUUGGAAGGUCGAGGGGAUGAAAUCAAUGCAUCGGAGCAGGCUAUGAGAGAUGCGAUUGAGACAAUCCAUAGUAUAUACAAAUAAGCUUCGGCCUGCAGUACCUAAAUUACUCCCUAAUCAAAAUCCAGUGAAUAAAAAUCUAAAAUUAGGGUAACUAUAAACCAUACAUCAAUUAAGCCCUG